AAACCGAAAAACAUUAUAAUGUUUAAGUUACGUAAAACUCUCAGUUACAAAAUCUUGAUAUUUUAAAAAAAAUUACAAUCCCAAUGACACUUACGUGCGUACAACACAAAAUUUUGUACCACAGUUUUCAAAACAGUACUUACAAUUCAAAACUGUUUAAUUAUAAAAUCAAAAUUUAUAAAUAUACUAUUAAAGCCUACUUUUAACCGUGACAGUCCGAGACCUCUGCAUACCGAG
Molecule: long non-coding RNA, 237 nt
Filed under: Gossypium barbadense (sea-island cotton)
Lineage: Eukaryota; Viridiplantae; Streptophyta; Magnoliopsida; Malvales; Malvaceae
Description: long non-coding RNA (GBAR_LNC009250)
Source: RNAcentral